AAAAAGAUAAGCUAAUUUAAGCUAAUAGGUUCAUACCCUACGAAUGAAAAUUUUUCUCUUUUUA
Molecule: transfer RNA, 64 nt
Filed under: Cerogria popularis
Lineage: Eukaryota; Metazoa; Arthropoda; Insecta; Coleoptera; Tenebrionidae
Description: tRNA-Met
Source: RNAcentral